Molecule: small RNA, 613 nt
Filed under: Pan troglodytes (chimpanzee)
Lineage: Eukaryota; Metazoa; Chordata; Mammalia; Primates; Hominidae
Description: processed transcript
Source: RNAcentral
AACUUCCGGUGUGGGUGACGAGUGGUGGCCGAAGCAGGGGUACAGCAAGGGACGCUCAGGCGGGGACCAUGGCGGACGGCGGCUCGGAGCGGGCUGACGGGCGCAUCGUCAAGAUGGAGGUGGACUACAGCGCCACGGUGGAUCAGCGCCUACCCGAGUGUGCGAAGCUAGCCAAGGAAGGAAGACUUCAAGAAGUCAUUGAAACCCUUCUCUCUCUGGAAAAGCAGACUCGUACUGUGAGUAGUUUACAGGGGAAAGCUCAGUUACCAUUAAUUUCAUUGAACAUUGUUCCAUUAACUUUCAAUAUAUUUUUACCCUUACAGGCUUCCGAUAUGGUGUCUACAUCCCGUAUCUUAGUUGCAGUAGUGAAGAUGUGCUAUGAGGCUAAAGAAUGGGAUUUACUUAAUGAAAAUAUUAUGCUUUUGUCCAAAAGGCGGAGUCAGUUAAAACAAGUAAGUUUACAUGCAUAUAAAAGACAGUGUUGGCUCAGUGCAGUGGAUCACACCUGUAAUACCAGCACUUUGGGAGGCCAAGGCUGUUGCCAAAAUGGUUCAACAGUGCUGUACUUAUGUUGAGGAAAUCACAGACCUUCCUAUCAAACUUCGAUUAAUUG